Molecule: long non-coding RNA, 453 nt
Organism: Cyprinus carpio carpio
Lineage: Eukaryota; Metazoa; Chordata; Actinopteri; Cypriniformes; Cyprinidae
Source: Ensembl
AGGACAAGGAGACUGCUGGUCCUAGCCUAGUUCAGUACAGUAUAUGUUGUGAGCGUGCUUCAGAUCUCCGGAGAUAGCACGGUACGCUGUGUCCAGAGCAGAGGUGAAAGCCAUCCAAAGCAGAGUAACUGUGCUUUGUGUCCAAGUUGAUACCUGUGGAGAGGAAAGGAAAGAGAGAUUGAUGCCUGUGGAGAGAAAAGGAGAGAGAGUGGGUAACACGAGGAGAGACCGAGGAAACCUGUACUUACGCCGCUGCCUAAAGAGAAAGCGAGUGAGCACCCAAGGAACGAACUGUGUGAACCAGUACUUACUGUGAGCUGUAAUCAGCGAAGAGGUGAGAGCAAAACCAAGCUGAACUAACUGUGCCUGUGUGUCCCAGCCGUUGCCUGUGGAGAAAGAGAAAGAGAGUGAGCACCCAGAGAACGAACUGUGUGAACCAGUACUUACCGUGAG